This 88-nucleotide transfer RNA is filed under the name Caudoviricetes sp. Its description in RNAcentral is "tRNA-Leu". Lineage: Duplodnaviria; Heunggongvirae; Uroviricota; Caudoviricetes. The record is from RNAcentral.
AGAUGAGUGACAGAGGGGUUUAUCGUAGUAGGCGAAGAGCCUACUGAGCUGAGAGAUGCUUCGUGAGUUCGAAUCUCACCUCAUCAUA